This 253-nucleotide ribosomal RNA is filed under the name uncultured bacterium. RNAcentral describes it as "partial 16S ribosomal RNA". It matches the Rfam family "Bacterial small subunit ribosomal RNA", at positions 524 to 776 of the family's 1533-position model. The record is from RNAcentral.
CACGUAGGGCGCAAGCGUUGUCCGGAAUUAUUGGGCGUAAAGAGCUCGUAGGCGGUCUGUUGCGUCCGCUGUGAAAUCUCGGGGCUUAACCCCGAGCCUGCAGUGGAUACGGGCAGACUAGAGGUAGGUAGGGGAGAAUGGAAUUCCUGGUGUAGCGGUGAAAUGCGCAGAUAUCAGGAGGAACACCAAUUGCGAAGGCAGCUCGCUGGGACGUUACUGACGCUGAGACGCGAAAGCGUGGGGAGCAAACAGG